This 713-nucleotide ribosomal RNA is filed under the name Salmonella enterica. RNAcentral's name for it is "partial 23S ribosomal RNA". It matches the Rfam family "Bacterial large subunit ribosomal RNA", at positions 1918 to 2630 of the family's 2925-position model. The record is from RNAcentral. RNAcentral also lists the same sequence under 6 other names. Lineage: Bacteria; Pseudomonadati; Pseudomonadota; Gammaproteobacteria; Enterobacterales; Enterobacteriaceae.
CCCCGGUAAACGGCGGCCGUAACUAUAACGGUCCUAAGGUAGCGAAAUUCCUUGUCGGGUAAGUUCCGACCUGCACGAAUGGCGUAAUGAUGGCCAGGCUGUCUCCACCCGAGACUCAGUGAAAUUGAACUCGCUGUGAAGAUGCAGUGUACCCGCGGCAAGACGGAAAGACCCCGUGAACCUUUACUAUAGCUUGACACUGAACAUUGAGCCUUGAUGUGUAGGAUAGGUGGGAGGCUUUGAAGUGUGGACGCCAGUCUGCAUGGAGCCGACCUUGAAAUACCACCCUUUAAUGUUUGAUGUUCUAACGUGGACCCGUAAUCCGGGUUGCGGACAGUGUCUGGUGGGUAGUUUGACUGGGGCGGUCUCCUCCUAAAGAGUAACGGAGGAGCACGAAGGUUGGCUAAUCCUGGUCGGACAUCAGGAGGUUAGUGCAAUGGCAUAAGCCAGCUUGACUGCGAGCGUGACGGCGCGAGCAGGUGCGAAAGCAGGUCAUAGUGAUCCGGUGGUUCUGAAUGGAAGGGCCAUCGCUCAACGGAUAAAAGGUACUCCGGGGAUAACAGGCUGAUACCGCCCAAGAGUUCAUAUCGACGGCGGUGUUUGGCACCUCGAUGUCGGCUCAUCACAUCCUGGGGCUGAAGUAGGUCCCAAGGGUAUGGCUGUUCGCCAUUUAAAGUGGUACGCGAGCUGGGUUUAGAACGUCGUGAGACAGU